RNAcentral lists this ribosomal RNA (301 nucleotides) under uncultured bacterium. RNAcentral's name for it is "partial 16S ribosomal RNA". It matches the Rfam family "Bacterial small subunit ribosomal RNA", at positions 509 to 807 of the family's 1533-position model. The record is from RNAcentral.
CAGUCGCCACGGGAAUACGGAGGGUGCAAGCGUUAAUCGGAAUUACUGGGCGUAAAGCGCACGCAGGCGGUCUGACAAGUCAGAUGUGAAAUCCCCGGGCUUAACCUGGGAACUGCAUUUGAAACUGUCAGGCUGGAGUCUUGUAGAGGGGGGUGGAAUUCCAGGUGUAGCGGUGAAAUGCGUAGAGAUCUGGAGGAAUACCGGUGGCGAAGGCGGCCCCCUGGACAAAGACUGACGCUCAGGUGCGAAAGCGUGUGGAGCAAACAGGAUUAGAUACCCCGGUAGUCCCUGUCUCUUAUAC